This 515-nucleotide ribosomal RNA is filed under the name uncultured bacterium. RNAcentral describes it as "partial 16S ribosomal RNA". It matches the Rfam family "Bacterial small subunit ribosomal RNA", at positions 28 to 523 of the family's 1533-position model. The record is from RNAcentral.
GAUGAACGCUGGCGGCGUGCCUAAUACAUGCAAGUCGAGCGAAUGGAUUAAGAGCUUGCUCUUAUGAAGUUAGCGGCGGACGGGUGAGUAACACGUGGGUAACCUGCCCAUAAGACUGGGAUAACUCCGGGAAACCGGGGCUAAUACCGGAUAACCUUUUGAACCGCAUGGUUCGAAAUUGAAAGGCGGCUUCGGCUGUCACUUAUGGAUGGCACCCCGUCGCAUUAGCUAGUUGGUGAGGUAACGGCUCACCAAGGCAACGAUGCGUAGCCGACCUGAGAGGGUGAUCGGCCACACUGGGACUGAGACACGGCCCAGACUCCUACGGGAGGCAGCAGUAGGGAAUCUUCCGCAAUGGACGAAAGUCUGACGGAGCAACGCCGCGUGAGUGAUGAAGGCUUUCGGGUCGUAAAACUCUGUUGUUAGGGAAGAACAAGUGCUAGUUGAAUAAGCUGGCACCUUGACGGUACCUAACCAGAAAGCCACGGCUAACUACGUGCCAGCCGCCGCAGUAA